CUAUACUUUAGCAAUAGCAGCCAUCUUGUCUGAACACUGGCACCAUUUUGUCACAUGAAACAAACUACAAAAAACAUAUAUUGUUUCCUUCAUCAAAUGUAUUUGUAAAUCUAGGUUUUAUUCUAUCAAAACUUUUGUCUUCUAAAUAAUCAAAACAUAUGUAUGUCCAGGCUUUGCAAAAUAUAGUAAUCCAUUAUCAGUCAUGAUAUUAAAAUCUCAUUCUCAUGAAUUAAAUCAAAGAUUUUAAAUCAACCUCAGAAGUAACAACAUUGUUUUUACCUUCUGUAAAAUGAUUGGAGUUACUGUAUAAUCGCAUACACCCAAUAUAACAUUGCAUGUUCCUAACUGCUACAUUAGUGUAUUUCAUUCUGCCAUAUUUGCAAACUUGAUGUGUAUUUUUAUUUUAAUUAAUUAACCUAAUACUUUCUUAUAACACACAUAAAACAAUGAAAAAACAGUACAGACUAACAAUUCAUUUAAAACAACAAACUAACAUAGAUCUCUAUUCUUGUGCUGUUCUUAAUUCUGGAAUCAGCCUGUGUACAUCUGUUGGCACACAUAACCAUGCUCAUUCCCUAAACUGAUCAUGUCUCGUGAAGUUAUCUGAUUCUUAUAACUUUCUGUGUUACACUGCAUUGCUUGUCUGUCUCCUAAUUUCGAUUUAGCUAAAAUUGCUUUUAUUUGUCUGAUUAUAAGUUUACAAGGAAAGGCCUUUAUUGAUUUAUCUCCACGUGUAUUUUCUCUGUCAAAAUUUUCAAUCAACAAAUUUAAUUUCUCAUUUGCUUUUGAUUUGAUAUCUCGGAUAAAAUAUCUGCAAGAUCUUAAAUAAUGUUGUUUGUUGCACCAAAAACAAAUAACUUUAGGAGUUAUAUUUUGCCCUAUAUUAUCAACCCUACAGUUUUUAGUUGAAUAAAUUGGGAGGGGCUCAGCUGUCUGUAUCACUCUACACUCUGUCCUAGAAGAAGAAGAAGGAGGGGGACGGGGGCUGUAACAUCUGCACUUCUUUCUCUGCCUAAAUCCACAAGUCGUUUUAACCCCUUCAUUCUUGGUUUCCCUCCUUAAGUUAUCCAAGAACAAAGCUACUUCUGUCAAAGUGCUUUUUUCUCUAGCUAACACAAUUGCAGUUGGAUCUAGAUCUUGAAUUUUUUUCACAAAUUCAUUAAUUAACUGAUCUUCAGAAAAAUCAGCAACAAGUCUAUAUGCACUUUCAAAUUUUACAAGAAAACUAAAUAUAUCCUCCCCCUUGUGUGGUUUUAG
Non-coding RNA from Pelobates cultripes (western spadefoot toad), 1257 nucleotides. NCBI's taxonomy places the organism in Eukaryota, Metazoa, Chordata, Amphibia, Anura, Pelobatidae. The record is from the annotation of a GenBank genome assembly.